CCUACGGGCGGCAGCAGUGAGGAAUAUUGGUCAAUGGCCGGAAGGCUGAACCAGCCAUGCCGCGUGAAGGUCAGUGCCCUAUGGGCGUUAAACUUCUUUUGUGCGGGAGCAAUAAUGGUCACGUGUGGCCAGACGAGAGUACCGUACGAAUAAGCAUCGGCUAACUCCGUGCCAUCAGCCGCGGUAAUACGGGGGAUGCAAGCGUUAUCCGGAUUUAUUGGGUUUAAAGGGUGCGUAGGCUGUGAGGUAAGUCAGCGGUGAAAUGCCCCCGCUCAACGGGGUGAAGUGCCAUUGAUACUGCCUUGCUGGAAUGCGGAUGCCGUGGGAGGAAUGUGUGGUGUAGCGGUGACAUGCAUAGAUAUCACACAGAACACCGAUUGCGAAGGCAUCUCACGAAUCCGCGAUUGACGCUGAUGCACGAAAGCGUGGGUAUCAAACAGGAUUAGAUACCCCAGUAGUC
Molecule: ribosomal RNA, 460 nt
Filed under: uncultured bacterium
Lineage: Bacteria
Description: partial 16S ribosomal RNA
Rfam family: Bacterial small subunit ribosomal RNA
Source: RNAcentral